CCGGAUUAAUACCGCAUACGCUCUGUGGAGGAAAGGGGGGGAUCUUAGGACCUCUCGCUCAAGGGGCGGCCGAUGGCAGAUUAGCUAGUUGGUGGGGUAAAGGCCUACCAAGGCGACGAUCUGUAGCUGGUCUGAGAGGACGACCAGCCACACUGGGACUGAGACACGGCCCAGACUCCUACGGGAGGCAGCAGUGGGGAAUUUUGGACAAUGGGCGCAAGCCUGAUCCAGCAAUGCCGCGUGUGUGAAGAAGGCCUUCGGGUUGUAAAGCACUUUUGUCCGGAAAGAAAACCUCUGUCCUAAUACGACGGGGGGAUGACGGUACCGGAAGAAUAAGCACCGGCUAACUACGUGCCAGCAGCCGCGGUAAUACGUAGGGUGCAAGCGUUAAUCGGAAUUACUGGGCGUAAAGCGUGCGCAGGCGGUUCGCUAAGACAGAUGUGAAAUCCCCGGGCUUAACCUGGGAACUGCAUUUGUGACUGGCGGGCUAGAGUAUGGCAGAGGGGGGUAGAAUUCCACGUGUAGCAGUGAAAUGCGUAGAGAUGUGGAGGAAUACCGAUGGCGAAGGCAGCCCCCUGGGCCAAUACUGACGCUCAUGCACGAAAGCGUGGGGAGCAAACA
RNAcentral lists this ribosomal RNA (621 nucleotides) under uncultured Burkholderia sp. Its description in RNAcentral is "bacterial SSU rRNA". It matches the Rfam family "Bacterial small subunit ribosomal RNA", at positions 158 to 774 of the family's 1533-position model. The record is from RNAcentral. Lineage: Bacteria; Pseudomonadati; Pseudomonadota; Betaproteobacteria; Burkholderiales; Burkholderiaceae.